This 577-nucleotide ribosomal RNA is filed under the name uncultured bacterium. RNAcentral describes it as "bacterial SSU rRNA". It matches the Rfam family "Bacterial small subunit ribosomal RNA", at positions 338 to 916 of the family's 1533-position model. The record is from RNAcentral.
CCUACGGGAGGCAGCAGUAAGGAAUAUUGGUCAAUGGACGCAAGUCUGAACCAGCCAUGCCGCGUGAAGGAUUAAGGCCCUCUGGGUUGUAAACUUCUUUUAUAGGGGACGAAAAAAGGGCAUUCUUGCUCACUUGACGGUACCCUAGGAAUAAGCACCGGCUAACUCCGUGCCAGCAGCCGCGGUAAUACGGAGGGUGCAAGCGUUAUCCGGAUUUACUGGGUUUAAAGGGUGCGUAGGUGGGUUGGUAAGUCAGUGGUGAAAUCUUCGAGCUUAACUCGGAAACUGCCAUUGAUACUAUCAAUCUUGAAUCAUCUAGAGGUAAGCGGAAUAUGUCAUGUAGCGGUGAAAUGCUUAGAUAUGACAUAGAACACCAAUUGCGAAGGCAGCUUACUAUGGAUGUAUUGACACUGAGGCACGAAAGCGUGGGGAUCAAACAGGAUUAGAUACCCUGGUAGUCCACGCCCUAAACGAUGGAUACUCGACAUUUGUGAUAUACUAUAAGUGUCUGAGCGAAAGCAUUAAGUAUCCCACCUGGAAGUACGACCGCAAGGUUGAAACUCAAAUGAAAUUGAGG